GACUACCCUGUAGUCCUGGCCGUAAACGAUGUGGACUUGGUGUUGGAAUGGCUCCGAGCUGCUCCAGUGCCGAAGGGAAGCUGUUAAGUCCACCGCCUGGGAAGUACGGUCGCAAGACUAGAAACUUAAAGGAAUUGGCGGGGGAGCACCGCAACGGGAGGAGCGUGCGGUUCAAUUGGAUUCAACGCCGGACAACUCACCAGGAGCGACGGUUACAUGAAGGCCAGGCUGAUGACCUUGCCUGAUUUUCCG
This 252-nucleotide ribosomal RNA is filed under the name uncultured archaeon. Its description in RNAcentral is "partial 16S ribosomal RNA". It matches the Rfam family "Archaeal small subunit ribosomal RNA", at positions 732 to 982 of the family's 1478-position model. The record is from RNAcentral.